This 207-nucleotide ribosomal RNA is filed under the name uncultured bacterium. RNAcentral's name for it is "partial 16S ribosomal RNA". It matches the Rfam family "Bacterial small subunit ribosomal RNA", at positions 570 to 776 of the family's 1533-position model. The record is from RNAcentral.
UGUAGGCGGUUCGUUAAGUCGGGUGUGAAAGCCCGGGGCUCAGCUCCGGAAGUGCGCCCGAAACUGGCGAGCUGGAGCGCGGUAGAGGAGGGUGGAAUUCCUGGUGUAGCGGUGAAAUGCGUAGAUAUCAGGAGGAACACCGGCGGCGAAGGCGGCCCUCUGGACCGUUGCUGACGCUGAGACGCGAAAGCGUGGGGAGGCAAAACA